Molecule: transfer RNA, 76 nt
Filed under: Chloroflexota bacterium
Lineage: Bacteria; Bacillati; Chloroflexota
Also listed under: 1 other name
Description: tRNA-Gly
Rfam family: tRNA
About the family: Transfer RNA (tRNA) molecules are approximately 80 nucleotides in length.
Source: RNAcentral
GCGGUGGUAGCUCAGUUGGUAGAGCAUCUGCCUUCCAAGCAGAAUGUCGAGGGUUCGAGUCCCUUCCGCCGCUCCA